This 508-nucleotide small RNA is filed under the name Mus musculus (house mouse). Lineage: Eukaryota; Metazoa; Chordata; Mammalia; Rodentia; Muridae. The record is from RNAcentral.
ACAGAGAGGAGCAAAACUUAUCUGACCUACUUUCCCCGACCUGUGAAGUAGCUAAUAGUACAGAACAGAACACUCAGGAGAAUGAAAGUCAAGUUUCCACAGACGACAGUGAACACUCCUCCAGAUCGCUCAGAAGUAAAGCACACAGCAAGUCCAAAGCUGCUCCGUGGACCUCAUUUCUUCCUCCACCACCCCCAAUGCCAGGGUCAGGAUUAGGACCAGGAAAGAGUGAUGAUUCUGACAUUUGGGAUGAUACAGCAUUGAUAAAAGCUUAUGAUAAAGCUGUGGCUUCCUUUAAGCAUGCUCUAAAGAACGGUGACAUUUGUGAAACUCCAGAUAAGCCAAAAGGCACAGCCAGAAGAAAACCUGCCAAGAAGAAUAAAAGCCAAAAGAAGAAUGCCACAACUCCCUUGAAACAGUGGAAAGUUGGUGACAAGUGUUCUGCUGUUUGGUCAGAAGACGGCUGCAUUUACCCAGCUACUAUUACGUCCAUUGACUUUAAGAGAGA